UACAGAGGUCUCAAGCGUUGUUCGGAAUUACUGGGCGUAAAGGGCUCGUAGGCGGCCAACUAAGUCAGACGUGAAAUCCCUCGGCUUAACCGGGGAACUGCGUCUGAUACUGGAUGGCUUGAGAUUGGGAGAGGGAUGCGGAAUUCCAGGUGUAGCGGUGAAAUGCGUAGAUAUCUGGAGGAACACCGGUGGCGAAGGCGACAUCCUGGACCAACACUGACGCUGAGGAGCGAAAGCCAGGGGAGCAAACGGG
This 253-nucleotide ribosomal RNA is filed under the name uncultured bacterium. RNAcentral's name for it is "partial 16S ribosomal RNA". It matches the Rfam family "Bacterial small subunit ribosomal RNA", at positions 524 to 776 of the family's 1533-position model. The record is from RNAcentral.